RNAcentral lists this ribosomal RNA (484 nucleotides) under uncultured bacterium. Its description in RNAcentral is "partial 16S ribosomal RNA". It matches the Rfam family "Bacterial small subunit ribosomal RNA", at positions 30 to 507 of the family's 1533-position model. The record is from RNAcentral.
AUUGAACGCUGGCGGCAGGCCUAACACAUGCAAGUCGAGCGGAUGAAGGGAGCUUGCUCCUGGAUUCAGCGGCGGACGGGUGAGUAAUGCCUAGGAAUCUGCCUGGUAGUGGGGGAUAACGUCCGGAAACGGGCGCUAAUACCGCAUACGUCCUGAGGGAGAAAGUGGGGGAUCUUCGGACCUCACGCUAUCAGAUGAGCCUAGGUCGGAUUAGCUAGUUGGUGGGGUAAAGGCCUACCUAGGCGACGAUCCGUAACUGGUCUGAGAGGAUGAUCAGUCACACUGGAACUGAGACACGGUCCAGACUCCUACGGGAGGCAGCAGUGGGGAAUAUUGGACUAUGGGCGAAAGCCUGAUCCAGACCUGCCGCGUGUGUGAAGAAGGUCUUCGGAUUGUAAAGCACUUUAAGUUGGGAGGAAGGGCAGUAAGUUAAUCCCUUGCUGUUUUGCCGUUACCAACAGAAUAAGCACCGGCUAACUUCGUG